GGGGAUUUAGCUCAGCUGGGAGAGCGCUUCCAUGGCAUGGAAGAGGUCAGGGGUUCGAGCCCCCUAAUCUCCA
Molecule: transfer RNA, 73 nt
Filed under: Fimbriimonas sp.
Lineage: Bacteria; Bacillati; Armatimonadota; Fimbriimonadia; Fimbriimonadales; Fimbriimonadaceae
Description: tRNA-Ala
Rfam family: tRNA
About the family: Transfer RNA (tRNA) molecules are approximately 80 nucleotides in length.
Source: RNAcentral